GGAGUUAGCCGGUGCUUCUUCUGCGAGUAACGUCACAGAUGUAAGGUAUUAACUUACACCCUUUCCUCCUCGCUGAAAGUGCUUUACAACCCGAAGGCCUUCUUCACACACGCGGCAUGGCUGCAUCAGGGUUUCCCCCAUUGUGCAAUAUUCCCCACUGCUGCCUCCCGUAGGAGUCUGGGCCGUGUCUCAGUCCCAGUGUGGCUGAUCAUCCUCUCAGACCAGCUAGGGAUCGUCGCCUAGGUGAGCCUUUACCUCACCUACUAGCUAAUCCCACCUGGGCUUAUCCAUCAGCGCAAGGCCCGAAGGUCCCCUGCUUUCCCCCGUAGGGCGUACUGCGGUAUUAGCAGUCGUUUCCAACUGUUAUCCCCCACAAAUGGGCAAAUUCCCAGGCAUUACUCACCCGUCCGCCGCUCGUCAUCUUCAAAAGCAAGCUUUUGAAAUGUUACCGCUCGACUUGCAUGUGUUAGGCCUGCCGCCAGCGUUCAAUCUGAGCCAGGAUCAAACUCUGA
Molecule: ribosomal RNA, 512 nt
Filed under: uncultured bacterium
Lineage: Bacteria
Description: partial 16S ribosomal RNA
Source: RNAcentral